This 72-nucleotide microRNA precursor is filed under the name Sphenodon punctatus (tuatara). RNAcentral's name for it is "Spt-Let-7-P2a1_pre stem-loop". It matches the Rfam family "let-7 microRNA precursor family", at positions 7 to 78 of the family's 84-position model. Rfam says of the family: This family represents the microRNAs (miRNA) let-7 and mir-98. let-7 was identified from a study of developmental timing in C. elegans, and was later shown to be part of a much larger class of non-coding RNAs termed miRNAs. The extents of the hairpin precursors are not generally known and are estimated based on hairpin prediction. The products are thought to have regulatory roles through complementarity to mRNA. The record is from RNAcentral. Lineage: Eukaryota; Metazoa; Chordata; Lepidosauria; Sphenodontia; Sphenodontidae.
UGAGGUAGUAGGUUGUAUAGUUUUAGGGUCACACCCACCACUGGGAGAUAACUAUACAGUCUACUGUCUUUC